AUUGAGUCUCGGGAACAGAACCUAAACCAGUAGCCCCAUCCCACAAUUCCCUUAUCCACCCUCCAUCUUCAUCUUCUCCCUGAACAACCUUCACCUUUCUUCACACCGGAACCCUACCGUCGAACCAGCAACCCACUCGUCUCCUCAUCCCCACCACGUCGCCGGUUCAGAUUACCUCACCACCUCCACAUCUCCCUUGCCGGCGCCGCCCUGAAUAGCACCGCCGGUCAACCACAGCCCUACUUCUCCGUCGCCGGCUCUGAUUAGGAACAACAUCAGUUUCAAUGGUGAUGCCCUUGAUGAUUGUUGAUAAACCAACCGUUGUGGAAAUAUGAGUGAAACAAAACGAACAACCGCAACCGCCUUAGUAGAUGCCUUCCACAUAUUUCUCCGAGCCUCGAGGACGAUGCUACAUCUUAAGCUUGGGGAGAUUAGAGGUAAUUUUUAUGUUUUCAUCUUAGCAUGCAUUAUCUAGUUUGUAAAUAGUUGCAUUUUUCAUGUUCAUUGCAUUUAGGGUGUAUAUACAUGCAUUAAAAAACAAAAAUUUCAAAAAAAAAAAAAGAAAAAAAAGCCGUUUCUGUUCCGCUGAAAAUGGUUUGUAAAAAAUGAGAAAUGAUAUGAUUUCUAGCAUGUCAAAGCUUAUGCGUGAAAUGGUAACUUUGGGGAAGAAAACAUAGAUAAUUUGGGAUAUGUUGAUAGGCUCGGCCCUAACUUAGGAACGCCAAUGUUGUAUGCAAUAACCUUAAUUGAAUAUAUGUGUUUAGUUUCCCAUCUUGAUGCUUAUGGUCAAAAAUUGAUCCUGACCAAAAAUCGGUUGAGUUGCAUAUUCUCUAUCACACACCAUGUUCCCCAUAUCAUGACACCUCCGUAAUUUCAUUGAAAAAAAAAUAAAGAGGUGAAAAAUUGACCUCUAAGAGGUGAAAAAUUGACCUCAUAGGUUAUUAUAGUUAAAAAAAAAACAAAACAAAAAAAGAAAGAAAAAAGAAGGGGUAAAAGAGCACAAUGUAUGCCAAAAAUUUGAAAAAAAAAGAAGUUGAAAUAAAAAAAAUUGAGCAAAUUAGGGAGAAAAGUCCCGACCCCUUGAAAAACGGAAAAAAAAAGAUAAUAACUAUCGUGUCAUGGUUUGGAUGCAUGGUCGCAUCAAGUGUGGUUUUGGAUAUCUUCAAAAAGUCGUGAGGUUGGGUAGAUGUUGCCAUAGGUGUUGGGCGUGGGGACGAUUGAACCAUGUUGGUUAAUUUGUAUAUUAUUAAGCAGAAAACAUUUGGUUGUGAUUAAGCGGGUUUGAGUUUAAAAGGACACAAAAUAUCAACAAUCGCGGUUACACGUGUAAGUAUUUCCUGGGUUCGAAUGAAUGUAAUAAGAGUUGAUAAUGUUAGAUGUGAUCUCAUUACAAGUUUAUUUUCCGGAAUAAAAGAAGCGGGUUGAAAAAAAAAUUAGUAAGCAUGCAUAUGUGCAUUAUUUUUCGCGUUUAUUUCUCGGUUUAUUCUUAUUCUUGACUUCCUUGAGGACAAGGAAAUGUUUAAGCUUGGGGAGAUUUGUUAGUUGCAUUUUUAGGCAUGUUUUAUAGCACUAUAAUAUUAAAAUAACAUCACAUAUCAUGCAUAUAUCAUAGUCAAACAUCAUUAUUUUGUGAAACACUUGUUUUUGGUGGAAUGGAAUCUACUUUGGUUGGUUUACUUUCGUAGGCGCGGAACGAUCAUUAAGGAUUACAAUGGGAGUUGGAAAGAAAUGGAAGGAUUCGUGACGACAAAGAUAAGAUCUCAAAACAAGCGAAACGACAUGACGAGUGAACUUUCGGAUGGAUUUUAUUAUUAUUAUACAUCUUUUUAGUUGGAGGUGUAUAAUUUAAUAGUAUAAUGUUUGGAGUUUAAAGUUCAUAAAAGAAAAUAAAGACGUUUGGGCCUGGUCGUAAUAGCACCCACAUCUUGAUGCAAUCUAUUUUUUUUAGUGGGCUGCUAGCUAAGCAAUAUGGGCUGCCAACAAAAGAGAAUAUAUCAUCCUCAACAAACUUGAGGAUUUGGAGGAAAUGGCUGGGGACGGCUGGAAGUGAAAACAAGAAGGGAAUCCAUCUUUUGAGGGGGGAUUCGAAAUCAGAAACGAAAAGAAGGCACUUGGUGGUUUGGUGAUUUUCUAGAAAAAAAAAUUUUCUUUUGUUUUGUAAGUUUCAACUUUGAUUUAGUAUUUGUAAUGAUUCAACUAGCCAUUAUGUCUGGCUAGAACUAUAUAGUUUCGACAUCGGGGCAUAUUUUCUUUGAUUUAGUUAACAACCUUAUGUGAAACGGUUAUGUUAGAUCCAAUUAUUUUAGUGGUUUGUUUA
Helianthus annuus (common sunflower) is the source of this 2317-nucleotide long non-coding RNA. RefSeq lists it as uncharacterized. NCBI's taxonomy places the organism in Eukaryota, Viridiplantae, Streptophyta, Magnoliopsida, Asterales, Asteraceae. The record is from RefSeq and is a predicted model, not a curated record. The transcript has 2 exons.